GCGCUUGCUUACAUAUUAACGUGCAAUAUGGCUAUGUGGCAUGACCUGUUAACAAAGGUGUUGUCUGUUUAGAUAGUCUGGUCUUCCUGUGUUUUUCUAGCAUUUUCACAGGUGACACAAGGCACAAUGUCUUGUUCAAAUAUGCAAGUCACAGUAACUAUGGCCAUAGCCUUUUAGGUCACAUUAUCUACGUAUCCACUUCUCGUACUCGAUGACUGAACCGAGACUGAGGUGUGACAAGGCACUUGCACUGCUUGAUGGACUGAAGACCAG
This 273-nucleotide long non-coding RNA is filed under the name Dermacentor andersoni. RNAcentral's name for it is "uncharacterized LOC126531441". Lineage: Eukaryota; Metazoa; Arthropoda; Arachnida; Ixodida; Ixodidae. The record is from RNAcentral.